Molecule: long non-coding RNA, 7716 nt
Filed under: Linum usitatissimum (flax)
Lineage: Eukaryota; Viridiplantae; Streptophyta; Magnoliopsida; Malpighiales; Linaceae
Description: long non-coding RNA (LUSI_LNC006687)
Source: RNAcentral
CUUCAAUCACUAGUUUUAGUCCUGCCUUGUUGAGUAAGCCUGCUGAAAUGAGAUUUCUGCGAAGGGUUGGAACAAACAAAACAUUAGACAAUUCCAAAUUAUUUCCAGAACUCAGUUUUAAAGUUACUUUCCCUUUUUCAACUACUGCUGCAAUGCUGGAAUUUCCCAUGAAGACUUGAUCUCCCUGUCCUGCAUCUUCAAACUCAGAAAACAUUCCUCUUAUGCCACAUAAGUGUCGUGAUGCUCCAGAAUCAAUAACCCAUUCUGUGUCGUUCUCUAUCAUGUUGACUUCAGAAACGACAGCAGAAAAGGUAAUGAGCUCUCCUUUUCCCCCCGUAGGUUCUACAAUGUUGACUUGAGUUCUGAACUCUCCCUCUCGCUUGUGACCUUGAUCCUUCCUUUGGGUGCAUUGAUAUGCCUUGUGUCCAUUUUUUUCGCAGACAUAGCAGGCUCCCUUCUGGUACCUCUGAGGGUUUCCUGGUUUCUUGAAGUCCACAUGCUUGUCCAGUAUCUUCCUCCCCUGCCAAGAGGGUUUUCUGGUCAUUCUUCCUUUAUGCCUGAAGUCAGGUUCAGCUAGAUUGGCGUUGACUGAAUGGGAGGACCUGAUUGAUAGCUUGUCUUUGGCUCUGUUGGCAGCUUCAAUUUUUAUAUGGCCAAUGAGUUCUUCCAUCGUCAUAUCUUUCUUCUUGUGCUUUAGAUGAUGUUUGUAGUCUGUCCAGGAGUCAGGUAGUUUCUCCACCAGAGAGUUGGCCUGGAACAUGUCACAGAUGUUCAUGCCAUCGAUGAGCACAUCUGCAGUGAGGCUCUCAUACUGGUGGAUUUGAUCCAUAAUGGGAAGAUUGUCCACCAUUUUGAAGUUUAACCAGUUCCCUACAGCGUAUCUCUUUCUACCAGCAUCAUCUCCUCCAUACUUUUUUAGCAAAGUUUCCCAGAUGGUUCUUGCAGACUUGGUGUGAGCCACAAUGUCAAAGAUUGGAUUGCUCAGGUGACUGAGAAUGUGUAUUCUGGCCGUUCUGUUGUCCCUUUCAUACUUUUGAGCUUCUGACAGUGAGAGAGUCUCCGUGGUGGCUGCAGGGAUGGAGGAGUCCUUGUUUCCUGUGUCCAUAGAUGCUUCUGAUGACGAAGCAGGUAUCCCGCUUGCUGCAGUAGGAGGAUCCCUGAGUAGUACAUAAUCGAUCUCCAGGUGUUCCAGGAAGAUCAGUACUCUGAGUGACCACCUCUUGUAAUUGUUUCCAUCCAGUGCUUCCAGUUUACUCACGUAGAGUAUUACUCAACCUGUAAAACUCAACAAACAGUGAAAUGAAAUGGAAAAGUGAUCGUGGUUAUACCACUGCCCUUAAAGCUAAUUCCCGAUUCACACACUAAUCAAUGUAUCAGGAAAGAACUUCCAAGGUAAUCACUGCUAAAGUUGUUCGGAGAGGAGUGUUUCUUAUGCUGCCAGUUCCACCAACUCAGGGACUGCUUAGGGAUCUAAAUAUAUCAGUCCCUAAUCCCUAACGUGGCCUGCAACGUCGUGCUUCGCUCCACUCCUUCUGUUGAUGGAAAAUCGGAGUCCUUGUUGAGUGAAUCAAGGAGGAAGAUCAGCAAGAGAUCAUCAUCUCUUCCUCCCCUUCCAACGUUAACUAAUUCUGUUAAAUGAGGAUGAGUUGCAGUAAGUGGCAACGUUGUCGUUUCAUCCUUGGUUUAAGUUGGUUCACUCAAGUGGUUGAACCGUCAUAUUCCUAACAACCGCACUUAAACUCGACGAGUACAAGCCAUUGAAGAUCCUUUAGCAUUCCAAUGGUGCCCUUGAUCUCCCCGAAGAUAGACCACUUGAGAAGCAACCACUUUAGCUCUUGUAACUCACCAAUGUUUAAUACCUCUUGAUCAUUGAAAAAGUGUCCAAGUAUGAAGAUCUCUAGGCUCCUUGGCAAGUAAGGGAUUGUCUUCAUAUCCCAACAACCAGAAAGAUCCAUAUAUUUCAGCUUACCUGCUGUCUAUUAAACCGGAGACCUUUAGUGUGUUAUAAUUAACAUGGUCCCACUGUUUUUUAUUCAUUAGAAUGAAAGAACUUUCACAAAUUAAUUACCUUGAUUUGACUCCAACCUCCCCAAUCGUCGUUCAUGAAGUUAUCCUCGAGAUCGAGGAUUACUACAUUUUUCAUAUCGAAAUUUUUGAACGGGCGAUCCUGUAUAUUUGCUUGUUGAUUCAGUCGAAGCCACCUCAUGUUUGGGAGAAGAUUGUUGAAGUCUCCUGUAAGCGUUGACGAUCCAACAUCCAAAUAUUUUAAUUCUGGCAAAUUCGAGAAAUAUUCACUUCUGAGUUCUUCCACGGGAAUGGAGGCUGAGGAUGAAGUGCCCACUCUUAUUGCUUUAACUUUAUCUGAUCCCUGUACAACAUAUUCAGUUAUAACUAAUACAAUAUACAAUGAGACACUUUUAAUGUGUUACAAAAAUGUACAUAGGAAUAAAAUCAUAUAUACCUUCUUGUUGGACAAUGUGUCGAUGGCUUCUUCUGCGGCCCAUAUUCUACUCCUCAUCCACGGACGGUUUAUAUCUUCCUGACGUACAAUUUCUCUACCCAUAUCUCUAAGCUGGUCAUGCAUUUGAAACUGGUAGUCGUCUCCCACUUUGAUCAUUGAUCUUUGAACUAGAAUCUUAAUAUUAGUGACGGGAUAAAGUUUGCAAUCGUUCCACAGGUAAGAAGACAUGUCUAUGCUUUUCCCGAUGAAGAAACACGCAACGUCCAAAAAUAUUUGUUGUGCCUGGUACGGAAGCGCAUCGUAACUUAUCUUCAACCUUUCCAUGACUUGAACCUCGACCGUUCCCUGCAACUGUAACAACUUCUCUUCCCAAAAAUCUAUAUCUUCUCUAUGCAGAAGCGACCCCAAAACCUUCAGUGUUAAUGGAAGUCCUCCUGUAGUCAACACAAUUUUGUUCGCUACAGUUUCAUAAUCCGAGGGAGGAGAGUCCAUAUGGAACGCAUGCCUGCAUAAGAGCUGCAACGAAUGUUGAUGACUCAUUGCUCCGACUUCAUACAAGACGCAUCCACUUUCGUUUAUAGUACUCAAGACUUUAAUGUUUCUGGAAGUAAACAGAAAUGUACUCCCGAAAAUAAAUAGCUAUUUUUACUCAACUAUACUGCAAUAAUAUCAAAUAGACGAUAUUUAUGUAACUUUUUUAUUAUCUUCUCAUAGUAAGUAAACGAGUAUAAAUACCUAUUUUCCUCGAAAAUAUAUGUUUAUAUACGGAUUUAAUGUCGAAUGAAAGAGAUAAUAAAGCAACGUAUAUAAAAAGAGUGACAAAGGGUUAAUGCAACAUACUCUUCCUUGUUUUGGAGGUGCCAUCCUUUCAAAGUUCCGACCUCGUUCAAAGCAUCUUUCCAACUCUGUAUGAUGUUUUCAUCAACUUUAUUCCUUUUAUGUUGUUUGAAUGCACUUUGGUAUGGCCCGGUUUGAUGGCGUACAUCUCGAGGAUCCAUCAGAUAGAAAAUUGGAAGUAUGAUAUGCCCUUUACCCUGCUUACGUUGCUUGAUUAUCUCAACAAGCUCGUUGAGACACCAUUUACUAUGAGCGUAACCCUGGGACAAUAUCGGGACGUGGAUUUUCGACUGACUGAUGGCUCGAAAAAGGUUUGUCCCGAUCCCUUCUCCCUUACGCAGUUCAUCAUCAUCUCUGAACGUGCGGAUCUUCAAGUUAAGGAGGAAGCGAUAGAGAAUGUCAGUGACAUAAUAACGCGUAUCUGGACCUCUAAAACUCAAAAACACCUCGUAGUCCCCCGUUGGAAGGGGCACGGAAUCAGAAUCUCCAGAGGCAGGAACAGAGGAAGAUAUGGUAGACGAAGUUGAUUGUUGAGAAGUACUAUCAUUGGAGUCCCCAUAUGCUCCCCUUCUUCCCCCAAAAAAGUAGUUGUAAACAAGUAUAAUCCCAAGAACUAUCCCAAUUAUUAUUAUGUAAAUCAUUCCAAGCCCUGCAUAUAUAUCAAAACAAUUGUUCAAAAUCUUUGAUCAUCACUAUUCAAAACCAAAAUUCUCAAUAAAAUGAAAUAUUAUUUUUGAUCAAGUAGACAUUUUAUUGCAAACAGAACCAGUAGUUCUAAAACGAUAUAAGAAAACUCGAUUUCAUUAUCUACACAAACCCAAAUCCAAAGAAUUGAUAGAUGAAGCUAAGCAAGAGCUAAAGGAAAUCGAGAAGAAACAUAUCAAAACAAAGCAAGUCAAACAAACGAAGAACUCACUUACACUACAAAAAGAAAGAGAAGCGUUACAGGAGGAGGAAGAAAAGAAAUGAUAUGGAAUGAAGAAAAGAAGCUUGCUCUGCUUUUUUAAAUAGGCUUAACUAUAACAAUGUAAUUACAAAACAAUCCAAACGAAUCUAAAAUAAUGUCACUCACAAAAAUAUAUUCCUACCAAUAAUAAAAUAUUAACCAAAAUUUUUUAUCGCUCACAUAUCCACCCAAUUAUUAAAAGAGUAACUUUCAAUUAACAAAUGAAGAACUCACUUACACUACAAAGAAAGAGAAACGUUACAGGAGGAAGAAAAGAAGCUUGCUCUGCUUUUUUAAAUAGAAAAGUGUGAAGGAGGCAAAUUAAAGGAAACCAGAUGGGAAGCCAACCAAUUGAACUAUGCCAUUCAAUUCCCAUCUUCUCCCAAUUUUUUUAAAUGGUUGGGACUAACCCAAUAAACAGAGCAACAAUCGCAGUUCCUGCUAGGAAAUACAUGAAGUGACAGAACUAAUGAAUAAGCAUAAUGAACCAGAACCAAAGUGAUGAAACACAGACGUCGAGAGUAUAAAAGUAAACACAUACCUCCGACUGUGUCGUUGGUGAUGUUGUCGGUCGGAUUUUGUUGUUGUUUGUGAGCUAUAUAUGAUUUUUGGAGAAUUAUUUUGGAGAGAGUUAGAAGAGUCGUCAGAGCUGUGAUAUUUGAAGAGCGAGGCAAGAACAAAAGGAAAGAGAGGGAAAAGGAAAGGUUUCUUGAUAAUGUUCUUGUACAGCAAAAGCUAAUAAUUGAAUAGCUGUAAAGGCAAAAAGAUAGUCACUGUACAGAAUUCUCUAGAGAAAUAGAGACAAAGUUGUCAGUUUACUUUUCGGUGUAAUGAGAGAAAGCCAAGGAAUAAAGUAAAAGGAUUUUUGAAACUGCUAUAGCAAAGAAAAGAAUUGCUUACAAGUUGCUCACAAUUGAGUACUGUAUAUGUUUCUCCAACCCAUCCUCACAGCCAGCCUCCUAGAUACCCUAUGUACAUGUUGAAAAUGAUUACAGAAUUAACAAAUAUUUGCUACAUCUAAAUAAUAGUUUCAAAAUGAAUUAUAUAAUAAGCUAAAUAACAGAAUUACAUAUGCCUUUUUCGAUUUGAUGUGCCUCCCUUUUAAAGAUCCAACAUCAUUCGGAACAUCUUUCCAACUUUGCGUAGUCUCGUCAUCGAAUUUAUUAACACGGUAAAAUUUUCUGUGAUGGAAAAAGAUAGUUAUUGCACAACACGGUGUAACACAAGUAAAAUUCUCUAGAGAAAUAAUGGUACUAAUUCUUCUCUAGAGAAAUAACGGUGCAUGGCGGGAUUAGAUUUGACGAUAUCUGAUCGGUACCCUUAUACGACGUCAUUUAGCAAUGUGUUGCAGCGGCUGUGUUUAAGAGUUUGGUUUGGAAAUUUAGUUUUAUUCUACCGUUGCAGUGUUCAUGCAAUCUGGAAAAUUGGGAUGUCCUUAUCAUUUACAAUUGUAGAGUAAGUGUUUAAGUAGAUUUGAAAUUUUUCGAACAAUCUAUCCAUAGGUUUCGGCUGUACAUUAUUAUUUAGUUUAGAAUUUUGGUAUUACUUAACUAAACGGGUAAAUUCGAAACCCGAUCAUGAAUGAAUAUGAUCGUCAUAUUUUCCCCAUUUAAGAAAACAUCUAAAUAUAGAUAAAACCCGAUAACUAGGAUGGCUGAAAAUAGAUAUAUCAAACCCAUCUCAUACUAACAUAGUACCAUCCUUGGCGGCAUGUGUAGAUUAUAAAUGAUUUUUGAACUUUAUACCCCACACCUAACUCACUGAUAGGCCGUUAUUUGGUAGUCAAUUUGACCCCAUCUUAAUUGAUUUUUGUCUCGGUUAGAUCGAUUCUUGGUUCCUUUGUGGUGAUUGGUUAAUAAAAGUAAGGGAUUCGUGCUUUGUUCUCUCGAACAGACCGUUUCGGUCUGCUCCGCCUAAUUUCUUAAGUUUCAUUGAGGUUUCCGGUAUUCAUUAGAAAAAGGACGUUUAUACGAAGCCAACGAGAUCAACCGAGAAUCAAACGGAGGUUAGACGAGCGAGAUACGAGCAAUUGAAGAAUUCGGACCCAGUCUAAGUCAAGACCUACAAGGCGUGUGAUCUCUGGCAAGGCCACACGUCGUAUGGCCUUUACAAACAGACAUAUUUAAACCUGAUUUUGAGGAGAGAGGAGACACUUCUUGCGUCUCCAAUUGAUCACCUUCAUCCAUUCUCUCCCAACUAAACCCUAAUCCAAAAAUCUUCAUCCACUCAUCACCAAUUGGAGGAUUUAGAAUUGUGUUAAUUGUUAAUUCAAAAUUGAAGUAAGGUGUGUGUGGACCAAGCUAAAUCAUAAUUCAACCUUAAGUGUGAGAAUUCUCUUAGUGACAUUUCAUCAAACACUUCGAAUGCAUUCUUUUAAUCACUUAGGUAGUGACGGUGAUUGGAAUGUUUGGGGUGUCAAAUAAUGACUUAGCAUCCUUAUCAAGUGUUUUUUAUGCCGUUGAGGGUCUUUUAGAACCUAUGCAUUUUAUCGAACACUUGAUAUUCAUUACAAAUUGACUUGAUCACUUGUCAAUUGGUAAUGGUAAUCCAUUUCAAAUCUUUAACUUGGGCUCCGAGGAAUGUUUGGAGAAUUUUUGAACCUUAACUCAUGUCGAAUGUGUCCAAUCUGUCUAGAGAGGCAGAUUUGAGUGCAAAUCCAACCCUGGAAGUCUAUCAACCUUUCUCAUACUUGUGUUCUUCCUCAUCACUUUCUUCUCGCUUAGUAGAUUGAUUGUUUAGAAUUGCCUCCCUUAGUUGUAUCCUGUACUCUAAAAUUUAGAAACACCUCAUACUUUCCGCUGGAAGUGAUCCCGAGUUUGAAUCUAUACAUAUUGCAGAAAUAAUCUCAAGGAAGGGGAAAGAAACUGGAAGAACAAAGUUGCCGAAGGAUGAUGAUGAUGACGACAACAACGACGAGUUUAAUGAUGAUGAUGACGACAAGUACGAUAAUGGAGACGACGAUGAUGAUGACGACGACAAUAAUGGCGAACGCCGGCGAGGGGAGGAGGACAUGACGCCGACUGUUUGGACUCUAUUAUUUGUUCAAACGUUCUAUUUUAAGAUUUACAGCAAACAACUAUCACGGUGAUGUAGGUAUUGCUCUUAUUUGUUUAUUAACAUCUAAUGUAGGUACUUCUCUUGUCACUUUCACGUGGAAUUUCAACCUUUAGAAGAGCCCAAACACCAGUUUGUCGGAGGUUGUCAUUGCGGAUAACCAACGCCUAUACGAAGAAGAUGAUAGUUCGGGUUAAAAUGAAUGGUCUAAGAUGAAGACACGUAGACUGAGGUAACGAUUACUUCGUAUAGGUGGAGGCACCAUUUGUAGACAACAACGUCUUUUAUAGACACCAUUUUUAUGCAUAUAGUGUUAUUAUUGCCAUAUCAUAUGCACAAGUCUGCAGAGCAUUUUUUACGGGUACAACAUGUUAACAUCAAUCCUUGGGGAAAGGACAACUUCCAACGGAGUUGCUUU